CCUACGGGAGGCAGCAGUGGGGAAUAUUGGGCAAUGGGCGCAAGCCUGACCCAGCAACGCCGCGUGAAGGAAGAAGGCCCUCGGGUUGUAAACUUCUUUUAACAGGGACGAAGAAAGUGACGGUACCUGUUGAAUAAGCCUCGGCUAACUACGUGCCAGCAGCCGCGGUAAUACGUAGGUGGCAAGCGUUAUCCGGAUUUCCUGGGUUGAAAGGGCGUGUAGGCGGGAGAGCAAGUCAGACGUGAAAUUCCAGGGCUCAACCCUGGAACUGCGUUUGAAACUGGUCUUCUGGAGUGAUGGAGAGGCAGGCGGAAGUCGGUGUGUAGCGGUGAAAUGCGGAGAUAUACGGAGGAACACCAGUGGCGAAGGCGGCCUGGUGGACAUUAACUGACGCUGAGGCGCGAAAGCGUGGGGAGCAAACAGGAUUAGAUACCCGAGUAGUC
Molecule: ribosomal RNA, 443 nt
Filed under: uncultured bacterium
Lineage: Bacteria
Description: partial 16S ribosomal RNA
Rfam family: Bacterial small subunit ribosomal RNA
Source: RNAcentral